GAGGUUAAGCGACUAAGCGUACACGGUGGAUGCCCUGGCAGUCAGAGGCGAUGAAGGACGUGCUAAUCUGCGAUAAGCGCCGGUAAGGUGAUAUGAACCGUUAUAACCGGCGAUUUCCGAAUGGGGAAACCCAGUGUGACUCGUCACACUAUCAUUAACUGAAUCCAUAGGUUAAUGAGGCGAACCGGGGGAACUGAAACAUCUAAGUACCCCGAGGAAAAGAAAUCAACCGAGAUUCCCCCAGUAGCGGCGAGCGAACGGGGAGGAGCCCAGAGCCUGAAUCAGCAUGUGUGUUAGUGGAAGCGUCUGGAAAGGCGCGCGAUACAGGGUGACAGCCCCGUACACAAAAGCGCAUGUGCUGUGAGCUCGAUGAGUAGGGCGGGACACGUGGUAUCCUGUCUGAAUAUGGGGGGACCAUCCUCCAAGGCUAAAUACUCCUGACUGACCGAUAGUGAACCAGUACCGUGAGGGAAAGGCGAAAAGAACCCCG
This 490-nucleotide ribosomal RNA is filed under the name Salmonella enterica subsp. enterica serovar Javiana. RNAcentral describes it as "partial 23S ribosomal RNA". It matches the Rfam family "Bacterial large subunit ribosomal RNA", at positions 1 to 528 of the family's 2925-position model. The record is from RNAcentral. Lineage: Bacteria; Pseudomonadati; Pseudomonadota; Gammaproteobacteria; Enterobacterales; Enterobacteriaceae.